Molecule: long non-coding RNA, 1821 nt
Filed under: Medicago truncatula (barrel medic)
Lineage: Eukaryota; Viridiplantae; Streptophyta; Magnoliopsida; Fabales; Fabaceae
Description: lncRNA gene16534
Source: RNAcentral
GAAAUGAACAAAAGGCUCAGUUAAAAUGGGACGGAGGGAGUAGUUAACAAGAGUACAACUGUUUGAUAACAUUGGUCAUUGUCGGUUGUCAUGAGUACCCUCUCUUUCUAGUAUGGUGCUGUGUUUACUAUAUGAGAUCAUAAUCUUUGUAUCCUCUGCGUUUUAAAAAAUGAUUGCAGUGAAUUGGAAGUGGUCUGUGGACUGUGAUCUUCAAAUCACCUUUAUUUGGUACUGAACAAUUUAGUUCUUUCCUUUAUAUGGUUACUAAUGUAAUUGACCCUUGUCAAGCAUGGGAUAGUAUUUCACUCGUAUAUAGUGUAUGAUCCAACCUGACAAGAUUGCUACUGUAUUCACUCAUAAGCACGGGAUACUAAUCAUUCCUUAAUAUGAUUCCUUGUGCAAAACUAACCCAUUAGGGGGUGUUUGUUUCAAGGUUAAGAAUGACAUUCCUGGAAAUACAUGGCUAGGGAAUGAUUAUACCCAUGUUUGUUAUGAGGUUGAGAAAAAAAUAUUCCUGGGUAUAAAGGUUCCUGGGAAUGGAGUAACUUCCCAUAACUUCCAUUAUUCCCAUGAUAUUAUGCAUAGAUUUAAAAAAAAAAUUGUAACUUCCAAUUUUUCCAGGAAUGUCAAGUUAUUUGCCAAACACUUUUUUUAACAAAUACCCAAGAAUCAAAUUUUCAUAUUUUCAUUCCCGGGUAUGUUAUUCCUGUGAAUAAUUUGUGUUUCCCAAAAACAAACGCCCCCUUAGUAUUGACCUAUAUAUAGUGUCAUUACCCGUGUCAAACCAACAUGAGGUUAUCAUGUUAUUCAUUGUUUGGCAUCCUGGAUGAAGUGCUCUUAUGGUUUCGAUUGCAGAGCAUGCUUAAGGUGUAUGGUGUACGUGGUCAUAUGUUAAGAUUUGACUUCUUCAAAGUUAGUAGUUCACUUUAAACGAAAACAUGAGAAAUCCGGAAAAUCAGCACUUAAAAUAUUAUAUGUUCAUGUAUAGUAAAUGAUGAAAUUAUUAAAAUCAUCUUUUGUUUUAUUGUAGUAAAAUAUCCCUCUUUUCUCAUCAAGAUGAAUUAUCCAUUUUCAAAGAGCCAAAUCACAACUUUUAAUUGCUACAUGAAUACCAGAGUCUUGUUUUAUUUAUUUUUCGGUAAAUCUCUAGGGGAAUUAUACCAAAGUUAUGUUACAGACUACUUGAUGGUUUAACUAAAAUACUGAGCGCUUUGUUGAACAGUCCUUUGAUUAAAUUCUGAUACACAUUCCAUUUGUGAGUGCUGAUCUCCCCCUUAUAUGCUCGAAUCUGUCAAAGUACACUACCGGAAGUGACUUUUGGUAGUGUAUUUCUAGAUAAAAUACACAACCGAAAAUUUGUUUCCGGUAAAAAGCUGCAUUAUGAGGUGUUAUGAGCAAUCACCAAUGCCAUCCUGUAUCUGUUAGCAUACUGGGUUUGGGGCCUUAGGCCUUAGCACAAUAGAUGGGCUGAAUAGGGAAUUGCUCUUCUCCCAACAAAAAACGCUCACUCCCAUACAAACUGAUCAAAAUACCCACCACAUGACUUAUGUCACGCAGGUGUUAAACCCAACGUGACUUAAGUCAUGUUCGCUACAUUGGUAAAUUCCACGUGAGUUAACUCAUGUAGGUCAUAACCCAGCAUGAGUUAACUCUUGUAGGUUAUAACCCCAACGUGAGUUAACUCAUGUAGGUUAUACUUCAUCUGACCGAACGUGAGUUAACUCACGUGACGAGUAUUUUGGUCAGUUUGUAUGAAAGUGAUCGUUUUUUGUUGGGUGAAGCGCAAUUUUCAUUAAUUAGUGAGUGUCCAUGAGUAGGGAA